UUCUUAUAGAAAUUAUUAUAAGUAAAGCCUGCUCAAUGAACAUUUUAAUAGCCGCAGAUCCCUCUGUGCUAAGGUAGCAUAAUCAUUUGUCUUAUAAUUAAAGACUAGUAUGAAAGGUAUCACGUUUAUUUAACUAUUUAAAAUUUAUAAAAAUUAAAUUUUAUUAAAUAUAAAAAUAUAUUUAUACAAAAAAAAGACGACAAGACCCUAUCGAACUUCACUAAAGUUUAACUGGGACAGUUAAUUAAUAAAAUUUUAAUUAAACAAUAAAAACGAUCCAUAAUAAUGAAAUUUAAUCAAGUUACCGUAGGGAUAACAGCGCAAUAUAUUUUAAAAGCUCUCAUUUUAAAAUAAGAUUACGACCUCGAUGUUGAAUUAAUAAAUCUAGUAUAGUGCAACGACUUACAAAGAAGGUCUGUUCGACCUUUAAUAUAUUACA
RNAcentral lists this ribosomal RNA (439 nucleotides) under Aotearoa magna. RNAcentral describes it as "partial 16S ribosomal RNA". It matches the Rfam family "Bacterial large subunit ribosomal RNA", at positions 1831 to 2600 of the family's 2925-position model. The record is from RNAcentral. Lineage: Eukaryota; Metazoa; Arthropoda; Arachnida; Araneae; Mecysmaucheniidae.